AAGCAGGGGAUCGUAAGACCUUGCGCUUUUGGAGCGGCCGAUGCCUGAUUAGCUAGUUGGUGGGGUAAGGGCCUACCAAGGCGACGAUCAGUAGUUGGUCUGAGAGGACGACCAGCCACACUGGGACUGAGACACGGCCCAGACUCCUACGGGAGGCAGCAGUGGGGAAUUUUGGACAAUGGGCGGAAGCCUGAUCCAGCAAUGCCGCGUGAGUGAAGAAGGCCUUCGGGUUGUAAAGCUCUUUCAGUCGAGAAGAAAAGGUUGCGACUAAUAAUCGCAACUUAUGACGGUAUCGACAGAAGAAGCACCGGCUAACUACGUGCCAGCAGCCGCGGUAAUACGUAGGGUGCGAGCGUUAAUCGGAAUUACUGGGCGUAAAGGGUGCGCAGGCGGCUCUGUAAGUCAGAUGUGAAAUCCCCGGGCUUAACCUGGGAAUUGCGUUUGAAACUACAAGGCUAGAGU
This 462-nucleotide ribosomal RNA is filed under the name uncultured ammonia-oxidizing beta proteobacterium. RNAcentral describes it as "bacterial SSU rRNA". It matches the Rfam family "Bacterial small subunit ribosomal RNA", at positions 202 to 647 of the family's 1533-position model. The record is from RNAcentral. Lineage: Bacteria; Pseudomonadati; Pseudomonadota; Betaproteobacteria.